AGGGGAAUCUUGCACAAUGGGGGCAACCCUGAUGCAGCGACGCCGCGUGAGCGAUGAAGCCCUUCGGGGCGUAAAGCUCUUUCGACCGGAACGAUAAUGACGGUACCGGGAGAAGAAGCUGCGGCUAACUACGUGCCAGCAGCCGCGGUAAUACGUAGGCAGCAAGCGUUGUUCGGAGUUACUGGGCGUAAAGAGUGCGUAGGCGGUUUUCUAAGUUCGGUGUGAAAUCUCCCGGCUCAACUGGGAGGGUGCGCCGAAGACUGGGAAGCUGGAGUGUGGGAAAGGCAGGCGGAAUUCCUGGUGUAGCGGUGAAAUGCGUAGAUAUCAGGAGGAACACCGGCGGUGUAGACGGCUUGCUAGACCAUAACUGACGCUGAGGCACGAAAGCGUGGGUAGCAAACA
This 402-nucleotide ribosomal RNA is filed under the name uncultured bacterium. RNAcentral's name for it is "bacterial SSU rRNA". It matches the Rfam family "Bacterial small subunit ribosomal RNA", at positions 355 to 774 of the family's 1533-position model. The record is from RNAcentral.